This is a long non-coding RNA of Sitophilus oryzae (rice weevil), 977 nucleotides long. RefSeq lists it as uncharacterized. The transcript has 4 exons. NCBI's taxonomy places the organism in Eukaryota, Metazoa, Arthropoda, Insecta, Coleoptera, Curculionidae. The record is from RefSeq and is a predicted model, not a curated record.
UAACACAUAAUCCAGAUGGCUCCUUACGUGUUAAAAAUUGUCACCCCAAUUUCACUCCAAUUUGGAAAAAUAUUGGAGUGACGUUUGAAUAAUCUGAAAUUUUUAGAUUCCUUUUCUAACUUUUUUGGGAGGUUUUGCUUCUCUUGCACAGAUGUCGCUUGCACUUCAGUUGCGUGGUUGCCAAACGUUAUAUCGAAAUAUAUUUCAUUUCAUUAUGAAUAUAUAAAAUUAAAAAUUAUGUAAUUUAUAAACAUGAAAUAGAUAUGGAUGUUAGGUAAUACCGGAUGUUAAAUUAAUAUAUAAAUAUUUAACUUAAUACGUACAUUAUUAUUUUAUUAAUUUAUCGUCACACGUCAUUUACCAGUUGCCUAAUUACGAAAAGUUUCAUAUGAUAUUAACCUCAAAAAUGAUCUUUGAAAACAAACAACAACAAAUAACUCAAAGAAAUAACUACAUACUACAUAAUAAUAACUGAUAAUAAUGACUUUUAAUGGUAUAAAGGCUGAUGAAGUUUUAGACAACCAAUACAAGAUUCAGAACUCGGCAUCGCGAUAAACAAGUAAAAUUGUACAUUCAGGAACUCGUUUAAAUAUUAUAGGUUGAUUGAAGAAUAAUCUACAAUUGAUUAGAGCCUAUGACGAUGCGAAGAUAAUUAAUCACCUAACUUUAAGAAACCAGCCUAAAGAAGUUUACAUGCAUCUCAUCUAACCAUUAUAGGUACAUUUUAUCUUCUAGAUCAGUAGUGAUUUUUCAUAAUUUGAAUGAACUCACAGAUAGCAAUGGGGCACCGCACCGAAGCAGUAUUACAAAAUGUGAAAUAAAACUGUAGUACAUAUUGCUCUAUAAAAUUUAAUAGAAAUAAAUUUAUUUAUGAAAAUUAAUGAAGUUUUAUCUUUCCUAGGAAAAAAAUAACAAUUAUAUUUUGAACAAUUAAUUUAGAACAUUAGAGUUAAAAAAAUAUAUGUGUUAGAAAUUGU